GGAGUUAGCCGGUGCUUCUUCUGUGAGUGAUGUCCUUCCUGCCGGCUAUUAACCCGCAGGCCUUCUUCCUCACUGAAAGUGCUUUACAACCCGAAGGCCUUCUUCACACACGCGGCAUGGCUGGAUCAGGGUUGCCCCCAUUGUCCAAUAUUCCCCACUGCUGCCUCCCGUAGGAGUCUGGGCCGUGUCUCAGUCCCAGUGUGGCUGAUCAUCCUCUCAGACCAGCUACGGAUCGUCGCCUUGGUGAGCCGUUACCUCACCAACCAGCUAAUCCGACAUAGGCUCAUCCGAUAGCGCGAGGCCCGAAGGUCCCCCGNUUUCCCCCGUAGGGCGUAUGCGGUAUUAGCCUGGGUUUCCCCAGGUUAUCCCCCACUACCGGGCAGAUUCCUAUGCAUUACUCACCCGUCCGCCGCUCGCCACCAGGGAGCAAGCUCCCCGUGCUGCCGCUCGACUUGCAUGUGUUAGGCCUGCCGCCAGCGUUCAAUCUGAGCCAGAAUCGAAACCUCGACGUCGUAGACGGGCGGUCGGCGGACGACGGCGACUAG
RNAcentral lists this ribosomal RNA (545 nucleotides) under uncultured bacterium. Its description in RNAcentral is "partial 16S ribosomal RNA". The record is from RNAcentral.